RNAcentral lists this small RNA (2192 nucleotides) under Pan troglodytes (chimpanzee). RNAcentral's name for it is "processed transcript". The record is from RNAcentral. Lineage: Eukaryota; Metazoa; Chordata; Mammalia; Primates; Hominidae.
ACAUUUCUGAUAGAAAGGCCAGGAGGAUGUAGACUCUGUCCUUGUUCAGGUCCCCACCUUGCUGAAGGCGCCAGAGCUCAUGUAGGGCCAAUGAGCCGGCUCAGGCUGAGCACUGCUGAGUGGGUAGAUGUUACUCUCCAGCAGGAAGAUGAAGCACCUCCCAGGCCCCCACUCCCCGAACUCUACAGCCCAGAGGACCAGCCCCCGGCUGUGCCGCCUCUGCCAAGAGAGGCCACCAUCAUCCGGCACACAUCUGUGCGGGGCCUCAAGCGGCAGUCAGACGAGAGGAAGCGAGACCGGGAGCUGGGGCAGUGUGUGAAUGGGGAUUCCAGGGUGGAGCUGCGGUCGUAUGUCAGUGAGCCUGAGCUGGCGACCCUCAGCGGGGACAUGGCCCAGCCCUCCCUGGGACUUGUGGGCCCUGAGAGCAGGUACCAGACGCUGCCAGGCAGAGGGCUCUCAGGGUCCACGUCAAGGCUCCAGCAGUCGUCCACCAUUGCUCCCUACGUCACACUCCGGAGGGGUCUCAAUGCCGAAAGCAGCAAGGCGACCUUCCCUAGACCUAAGAGUGCCUUGGAGCGCCUGUACUCAGGGGAUCACCAGCGAGGCAAGAUGAGUGCAGAGGAGCAGCUGGAGCGCAUGAAGCGACACCAGAAGGCCCUGGUCCGAGAGCGCAAGAGGACACUGGGCCAAGGGGAGAGGACGGGCCUGCCCUCAUCUCGCUACCUCAGCCGGCCGCUCCCUGGAGAUCUUGGCUCAGUAUGUUAGGAGGGGCCAGGCAGCGGGGCAGGGACAGGGAGCCGAGUGCCCCUCAGAGUCCCCCAAACACAAGCACAUCACACCUCCCAGUGAGAGAGCUGUCCAUUGACCUACAUGGUUCAGAGAACACCCCACGGGGCUGUUUGUCCACGACCCAGGCUGGACAAAUGCCUGGUCAGAGGGUGACCUGAACCAGAGCUGGAGUGAGGAUCAAACAGGCCCAGGAGCCUGAGGAAAUACCCAGUCAGUCCUCCCAGCCGCGAUGGAGAGGGGCCUUUGCAGGCGUUCGGAAUCUCGGCUGAAUUCAGGACCUGGGAAUACAGGGUUCAGAGAGGAGAGGAGGAAGAUGGUGACAUGAUUUGGUUAGAAGCACAAGCAAACUGAUCAGCCUCCCAGACCUGCCAGCAGAUGCUGUGUGAGGGUGAUGGAGCACGGGGUCACACCCCUGCCCCAAGGGCCACUGAUCUCCCUGGGCUUGCAGUGCAGAGGCCUCAGGGUGUCUGGGAUUGCUGGGGAGGCCUGUGCUGCCCCCUGGUGGCGCUUCCUGGCGCUGCGCCCUGUCCACAGUCACCUUAGGUCCCUUUGGAAACAUUCCAUUUGACUUUUCCCUGUUGUUUGAAAUCCCAUGUUUCCCUAAACCUCUAGCCUGAUUGUUCUUUCCCUAAUUCAUUGCACAAGCUCCUUUGCUUUUAGUGUUACCGCUCAUUGCCUCUCUAAUCCUGCCUGAUUGUGUUUACAGAAGCUUCUGAUUUGCAUUGAACAUGCUCUAACUGGCCUGUGCUACUUAUUACCAGGCUUGUAAUAGCGGUUCUUGUCUCCAUAGCCUGUUGAGUGUUCCCAGAUGUGACUCACCUUUCUGCUGCCCUCUUCAUGCAGGCCUACUGACUCAUAAUUCACUUGUCCCAAAAGCCACCCCACAAGCCUGAGCCAACCUGCUGCCUGACGCCACAGUCAUUGGCAGAGGUCUGGGCAUUAUUAAUUUAUAAAAAUCCAUGCUUUACACCUGGACAGUAGACAGGGACUUCAGAGAUUGCACGUUUGAAUACAUUCUCCCAAGACUGAGGUUGUUCGGUUUUAAUUCCUAUAGUCCAAUCACACAAUUUCUUAUGGAAAACCUUUUGUGUUUCUGGUAUUUAAUAACUUGAAGGGAUAGCAAAAUAUACUGUGUAUUCAGAGGGCCUCUCUGCAGCUGCUAGCUCAGACACCAAAGGGGUAAGGCCCAGGACAUUCAUAUCUUUAAAAGCUGCAAACCUGGUAACCUUUAAACUUUUAAAACAAAUGUCAUAUGGGGUAACACUGACCUUUUAUAAUUUGAUGUCUCAAAUGUAGAGAUUAUCUAAAAAUCGUAACUUGAAUACCUUGUAAUUUUUCUCUUAAAAAAGAAGACUUGUGUAAGUCUCUGCAUCAACGCCAAUAAACAUGUUGCUUAAUAAUAA